RNAcentral lists this ribosomal RNA (585 nucleotides) under fungal sp. ARIZ B164. RNAcentral describes it as "eukaryotic LSU rRNA". The stretch from base 205 to 358 matches the Rfam family "5.8S ribosomal RNA". RNAcentral also lists the same sequence under 2 other names. The record is from RNAcentral. Lineage: Eukaryota; Fungi.
UUGGAAGUAAAAGUCGUAACAAGGUCUCCGUUGGUGAACCAGCGGAGGGAUCAUUACCGAGUUUACAACUCCCAAACCCCUGUGAACAUACCAAUUGUUGCCUCGGCGGAUCAGCCCGCUCCCGGUAAAACGGGACGGCCCGCCAGAGGACCCCUAAACUCUGUUUCUAUAUGUAACUUCUGAGUAAAACCAUAAAUAAAUCAAAACUUUCAACAACGGAUCUCUUGGUUCUGGCAUCGAUGAAGAACGCAGCAAAAUGCGAUAAGUAAUGUGAAUUGCAGAAUUCAGUGAAUCAUCGAAUCUUUGAACGCACAUUGCGCCCGCCAGUAUUCUGGCGGGCAUGCCUGUUCGAGCGUCAUUUCAACCCUCAAGCCCUCGGGUUUGGUGUUGGGGAUCGGCGAGCCCUUGCGGCAAGCCGGCCCCGAAAUCUAGUGGCGGUCUCGCUGCAGCUUCCAUUGCGUAGUAGUAAAACCCUCGCAACUGGUACGCGGCGCGGCCAAGCCGUUAAACCCCCAACUUCUGAAUGUUGACCUCGGAUCAGGUAGGAAUACCCGCUGAACUUAAGCAUAUCAAUAAGCGGAGGAA